Molecule: long non-coding RNA, 849 nt
Filed under: Zostera marina
Lineage: Eukaryota; Viridiplantae; Streptophyta; Magnoliopsida; Alismatales; Zosteraceae
Description: long non-coding RNA (ZMAR_LNC005885)
Source: RNAcentral
GCAGGAAGGAUUAUACAGAUAUAGGAAAAAAAUAGAAAGCCGAAAAGGAGUCGCAAGAUAAGAAUUUUAAUUUUAAUUGAAUGCAGGCCAUUAGAAAUGGUUGAAAAAGAGUUUCACAAGUUGAAACAAGGCUUCUGGUUUCAAAAAUAGCAUCGAUUUAUGCAUCUAAAUAUUUAGAUUUGGCUGAACAUAAAGUAGGAGUGAGAACGGGGCAGGUCGCAGGCGGGUCAGGUGCUCUGACCCCUGCCCCGACGACCGGGGCGCGGAACUGGCGGAUCCUACAAUUAAACCUGAAAUUUUAUAAAUUCUAUAUAAACCUGAAAAAUGAAGUAAUGUACAAUUAAAAUUUAUAAAGUUAUAAGAAAACAAUUAUAAAAUUAACAAAAAUUAUAAAUUAACAACAAUCAUAAAACUAAACAUAUUACAAUAAGUCAAUAACCAUAAAAUUAAACAUCUUCAAUCUUCAUCUUUAUCAUCUAUAGAAAUUGUAUUAAAGUUAAUAAAAUUUAAUUGAUUCCUGGAUCAUAUCUAAUGUUGUUUAUCUCCUGCCUUGGACGAAUAGAUUUGUGCAGGAGUUCUUGCGACUACAGGUAUUUAUUUAUGCAUUUCUCAUCAUCCAAAUUACUUGAACAUAACCACUUUUAUUUUUUUGCAGUUUCCCAAAGGUAAUGUUCCGGAAUGGGUUUGCAAUACUAUGGAGGUUGCCGGAAUAGACAUCUCUUCCUGCUGCUGUCCAAUUUUGUCAUAUUAGUGUUGCAGAAAAGAAGAAAAAGAAAUUUUACAGUAUAAAUUAUAUAGAGUUAAACAUGUUGCCAUAAAUCAUGAUUUAUUUUGUGGCUACGAGUCUAC